This 456-nucleotide long non-coding RNA is filed under the name Cricetulus griseus (Chinese hamster). RNAcentral's name for it is "lncRNA (ENSCGRG00015031488.1)". The record is from RNAcentral. Lineage: Eukaryota; Metazoa; Chordata; Mammalia; Rodentia; Cricetidae.
CAGACUUUCAUAAAUGCUCAAGCCAUGCCCAGUGAAAAAGACCACUUCUUGUUACCUGCCUGUCAGGAUGUAGGACUCUCAGCUCCAGCACCAUGUCUGCCUGCAAGCUGCCAUGCUCCCUGCCAUGAUGAUAAUGGACUAAACCUCUGAAACUGUUCGUGCUUGAGUUCUUGCCCUGAUUUCCUUCAAUGAUGGAUUGUUACCUGAAAGUAUAAGUAUAGAUCUCGUCCCUCAUCAAAGAAUCUUCUCCUUGCUGCAGAUGGAGACCAUUACAGAAAACCACAACUGAUCAAAAUGCAGGGAACAACCGACUGUGGGAUGCUCAACUCCAAAUGAUGCAUCUAUAGCACAACUCCUGUACUGAAGCACAGAGAACAUCUUGGGAGCAGGGAGGAAAGAUUAUAAGAACCAGAGGACCAGGGAGACUGCUGUGAGUUUGUGUCUCCUAGAAAUGGC